This 230-nucleotide unclassified non-coding RNA is filed under the name Ceratitis capitata (Mediterranean fruit fly). RNAcentral's name for it is "uncharacterized LOC110117768, transcript variant X1". Lineage: Eukaryota; Metazoa; Arthropoda; Insecta; Diptera; Tephritidae. The record is from RNAcentral.
AAAAAAUAAAUCAAUAAAAAAAAGGAUAUACAUUUUGGGCGAAAUGUGCAAGUUUUGUAUGUGGCUGGCUUGUACAUUUGUUGUACUGUUAAUGAUCUUCGUUACGCUUCAAUUUGUUGGUGUUAUUGAGCAUAAAGAAAAUGAAGAUGUUAUGGGAGAAUUCUUCAAGUAUAUAUCAAGUGCUAUGAAAGGAAAUAUAUAAUUUUUAUUCUUAAUUAAAUUAGUACAUU